GAUGACGACCGGCAACAACAACAACGAGAACAACCACAAGAACUCGUGCUACCCCUACUGCUACUAUUCAUAUUGCUGCUCGUCCUACGGCUACGGCUACGUCCAGGUGAACGCCCUCGAGAAGACCACGAACGCCCGCUGGACCUCGACGAGCGCGGGCGCCAGCUGCUUGCUCGCGCGGGCGGGCUGCACCGGGAGCUACAGCAGGUCGACGAGGGGGACGCGGCGGUGGUCGUGCCGGUACAGCAACUUGUGGACGACGUCGAGGUCGUCCGAGGCGAGGUCCAGGCGGUGCCGCGGCACGGCGAGGACCUAGAGGCGGUGGUGCGGGUCGUGGAGGGGCGCCGGGACGACGAGGCGCUACCGGGCGACGUCCUUGGCGAGGGGGAGCGGGCAGAGGCGGUCGCACAGGUCGCAGCGGAGCAGCCCGACGCUGGGGCAGUGGCACUUCAUCGCGGCGCGGUGGCACAGGGCCAUGAGCCUCCACUACGCCCUCGCCUCCCUCCUCUUCCUGAGGUACCGCAGGGCGUCAAAGAACGCGUCCGGCCGGUGCUGCCUCCACGCCCACGCCAGGCACCUCCUCGGGCCGGGCGUGGGCCGGUGCCUCGCCAACCGCCGCAACCGGGCCAGCUCGCUGAGCUCCGCCUCGAACUGCUGGAACCGGAAGAACUACCGCCGCCGCUGCAGCCGCAGGUACGCCCUCGCCUCGCGCGCGUGCCGCCUCCGCAGCACCUCGCUGAACGGGCUGAGCAACGGCAGCACCUCCCUCGCGACCUAGGCGAGGUCGAGGGCGUCCAGCAGGAACUACCUGAGGUGCAGGAGCUUCUUCGCCAGGUCCGAGCGGGGGCGGCGCCGCGGGCCGCCGCGGCAGUAGAGGUGCGGCGGCGGCGGCGGCGGCCUGAGCUCCAGGGGCGGCAGCGGGGGGCGCGGGCGCGCGAAGGUGCUCGACCUCUUCUCCAACAAGUACCGACGACGACGGCCGCCGAGUCCGUUCCCAGCUACCUAGCCAGACAUGCGGCCGAAGAACUAAGAGGACCUACCCACCUCCAGGACCGCGCCAAAGAACCUGCCCCUCUUCGCCUCACCUGUUCCCUCCUUCUUCCCCAAUCAAUGAAUU
RNAcentral lists this ribosomal RNA (1117 nucleotides) under Triticum aestivum (bread wheat). Its description in RNAcentral is "partial small subunit ribosomal RNA". The record is from RNAcentral. Lineage: Eukaryota; Viridiplantae; Streptophyta; Magnoliopsida; Poales; Poaceae.